GGCAGUGGUUGCUCAUUGGUCAAGAUGUUAGACUACUGAUUGGAAGAUCAUGAGUUCAAACCCCAACACUGCCA
Ameiurus melas (black bullhead) is the source of this 74-nucleotide non-coding RNA. Lineage: Eukaryota; Metazoa; Chordata; Actinopteri; Siluriformes; Ictaluridae. The record is from the annotation of a GenBank genome assembly.